AGAUGAGCUUAUAAGGAAGAAGAUGAGUAGAAGAAGUCAUUGCUCCUCCAUUUUACCAAGGAAAAAAGAAGUUCUUUGCCACAAGUGGUCUACAAGAAAGGCAGCAGUAAAUAACAACAUUUAGACUGUUCACGAUGUGACACUCAUGCCUGGUGAUUUGUCCUUGAGUGCUUUGACCAAGCUUUUGCUGGUCAUGCCUGAAAUUGGUUACCAAUUACUACA
Molecule: unclassified non-coding RNA, 222 nt
Filed under: Hevea brasiliensis (rubber tree)
Lineage: Eukaryota; Viridiplantae; Streptophyta; Magnoliopsida; Malpighiales; Euphorbiaceae
Source: RNAcentral